UCUCUGAGGAGGUGACAUUUCAGCCAAGGCCUGAGGGUAUGAAGAGCUUUCAGCCUGCAAAGGGUAGAGAAAGAGCAUCCUUGGCGAAGGAAACAGCAGAUGAAAAGUCCUAGAGAUGGGAAUGAGGCUGGAAUAAGGAAGAAAUGAAGGAAGGCCAGGCUGGAAGAAACGCAGGCAACAAGCUUGAGAUUGAGCUCUCUCUGGCUGUGCUGAGAACGGACUGGCAAAGCAAAAACGAGGCAGAGUGACCUUUUGGAGGGCAGAAAUCUGGGGAGAGGUGCUGUGGCCACACCAGGGUCGGGGCUGUGGGCUCAGAGAGAAGUGGAUGGACUCCAGACAUAGCUAUUUUUGUCCAGCCUGACAGCCCUUGGCGAUCCCAGCCGUCUGGGCUCCGUGAGCCGGAUGCAAAGCAGGCAGCACAAACGUCUGGUGCUGAAUCCCAAGAGGAUUCCUCUCUGGGCGCCGUCACGUGGGAACGCGGCUUCUGUGCUGUGUAUCCGACGGGACCACAGGCCAGAACGUUGUACCCGGUACUCAGCAAAUCCUGGAACAUGACAGAGCCCAUGGUUGAGCUCUGCCUCCUGCCCUCGCCUUUGGCAUCACUGAAGGACACAGAGGUGACACCAUAAAGUCAACGUCUUAGACCUUCAUGAAAUGGCAUAUGUGGCUUGCCCGGAGGGUUGCAGCCCACUUGACAAUCCUCUUGGCAUUAGAGGUUGGAUCAUUUUCAUCACUGCUCAAAGAGAAAAGGCUGCAGGGGAGACCAGAUCAACAUUUGCCAAACCUUACUGCUAUGGCCCUGGCUUUGUCCAGCUACAUCUGGAAAAGGCUAUUUCCAUCCAAACAUCUGGACAAGAAUGUAAGGCCAGUGAAAACUCCUGGAAGUGAUGGCUCAGCAAGCUAGGCCCAGGGCUCAGGGGGCCAGAUCCUGAGAUCUCUAGGGCGGCUUGUUUACAAAGCUUCACUCUGGACAAGCCGCAAGAGCCAAGGUCUACUAAGAAACACGGCCUUUGUCCCUCCAGGGUGGGUAAGGUGUCUCCAGGGGUAUUGGGUUAGCACUGUGCGCGUCACUGCCUUCAGCCUGAUCCCUCCUCAGGGACCAUCUGUUGGAGGCUGACACCCCCCUUUCAGGGGAGCUCAGCCAUCCCUUUCCCACCCUCCUGGUUCUCUGCAUCCCUCUCCCUCCACUCUUGUAUCCCACAGGCAUGUCUCACAUCACAGCUUUCCAGGCAUCUCUACAGGUGUUAAUACUUCUCUCCUUUGAAGGAGAGCCCAUUUCACCCAGGCAUCACCACAUGUAUGAAUACUUCUCUCCUUUGAGGGACAGCCCCACUUCACCCGGGCAUCACCACAUGUAUUAAUACUUCUCUCCUUUGAGGGACAGCCCCACUUCACCCAGGCAUCACCACAUGUAUUAAUACUUCUCUCCUUUGAGAGACAGCCCCAUUUCACAGAUGAGGAUGCUGAGCAUGGGGAGCUACGGCAGCUUGCCCAGCCUAUGCAGCUGCUGAGGAGCAAAACCCGCAUGGGAAUCCAUGUCUUCUGGCUCCAAACUCAGCAUUGUUUUCCCUCCUAAUUCCUACUUCCUGUCUGUCUGAAUAGCCCUCCAGUCCCCUUAGCCGAAUAGCUCCCAAGAGCCCAGCCAGAGCGAGUUCUUUUCCAGGCUGUGAUCUGGCCCUGACACUGGGAGAGGGUGUGAGAGCUUCUUGACUGAGAGCCUGGAAAUAAGGCAGAUUUUCAGGGGCCCAGAGAAAAUACAUUGAGUCCCAAGAUCGGCUCCAUGGGCAUCAACAGAUCCCUAGCCAGAAUUCUGGGGUAGUCUCUUGAGGGAGAGGCAGCUUUCCAGGUGGUCUGGCCACCAGUCAUGACCACCCUCAGUGGUCAGCCUCAGUUCUUUUUAGGGAAAUACCCUGAGGAGCCUUUGCAGGUGACCCCGUUCAUUUUCCAUCAACCAGAGGCAGACUCACAAUGUCUUCAGUGAAAGGUUUUCAGAGAGCAUUCAGCCCACUUGUAAAAUGUGGAAACUCAGAGAGGGGAAGGUAUCUGCUCCAGGACACACAGCAAAUUAAAGGAAAUUCCAGAGCUGAAGCCAAGUCUACUGGUUUUUCAUCCACUGCUCCCCACGUAGUCAUCAUCCCACCGUGUAUACAUCAUAGCCAGUACUUCCUGUUCUAGACAGCAUUUCCACGUUUGCUUGUUUCAUUUAUCAUACAAUAGCUCUGUGAAUUAAGUAUUGGGGCCAUUUCACGCUAAGGAAAAAUAAUCAUUUGCUAGCUGGAGGGAGAGAGACACAAAGUCCCGUCUACAGACAUCCAGGCUUUUCAUUAGACCAUGCUGUUUCAUGAACAUGGCACCCUCCAACUGAACAGUGACCCCUUAGCAGUUUUUAAAACUUAAUUAAUUAGGCUGCGCUGGCUCUUCAUGACUCACAGGGGGUCUUUCUUUGAGGUGCUCCGACUCUCCAGUUGUGGCAUGUGGGCUCAGUAGUUGUGGUCCAUGGGCUUAGUGGCUCCACUGCAUGUGGAUCUUAGGGAUCUUAGGGAUCUUAGGUCCCUGCCCAUGGAUCUAACUCGUGUCUCGUGCAUUGCAAGGGGGAUUCUUAACCACUGGGCCAUCUGCCCUAGAGAGCAGUUUUAUCUGGAAGUUGCCUUGUGUCAAAGCAAGAAGUUGUAUGCCUUAAGUCCAUUACCCUAUCAAAGCCUCAUCCUGUGAGGUAAGAUAUUAGCAUCCCCAUAUUGUAAGGGAGAAAACUGGGAUUCAGAAAGGGGUAGUCACUUGCCUAAGUUAAUGGUGGUGAGAGUCACAUACAAGUCUGUCUGACUUCAAAGGCCACCAUGUGCCUCAAAUCAUGUAGAAACAACCCACAGACCCUGAACCAGUGCCUGACAUGUGGCAGGUGCUCAUUAAAUUUUUUGCAGAGGGGGAGGGGAGAGGUAUAUUCUCAGUUUGGACCCAUGGGUGUCAGGGGGCUGGGUUUAGAUAGGAGCUCUGAGGGUGAUUCUCACAUGUGGGGCAGGACACGGCCACCAGGUGGACACCCACAGUGACAGUGGAACACACCCUGCUCUUUACUCUGAGUGGGGAGGGGUUGGAGCCCUGCCUCUGACCCUGGGGAGAGGCUGGCUGCUUCAGUCCCGUGGCCCUUGCCACUGUUUAUCUGGCUUUCUUUGUCCAUGGAGCUCUUCUUUUCUGAGAGUUCCCUGAGGGCAGAAGCUGAGCAGGAUACAUCUGGGCCCCCCACACCCAGCCCAGGGUCUGGGCCACAGCAGGCAUCGUUCAGCGCUCCCUGAAUUGAAGCAUUGAUGUCUGCUGGGGGGAGGGCCUUUUGGUGAGUGCUACAAAGAGGGGUCUAUAAGUCCGCCUAUGCCAGAUGUCCAACUGCUUUCUCUCCUCUGAGGGGGUCUGCUCGCCAGAGAAUCUAGACAGUCUCAAAAAAUGGGCUCUGGUUGAAAGAACAAAAUGUUGUAUAGGAAAAAAAACUACGUACCGAUCCUUUAUGCCAUAGUCCAAAUGCCACUGCCUUCAGGAAGCCCUCCUUGCACAUUUGGUUGUGAGUGACCUCUCCCUGUUCAGGUGCCCUCACAGCCCACAGUCUGUCUCUCCUUCCAUCUUCCAUCCUGCCCAUGGACUUUGUGUGACCUGGCAGGUCACUGACCAGGCUGCAAAUUCUUGGGAGGACAGAAGCCAGCUCCCAUUGGCCUAGCUCUCUGACACCAAUUUCACGCCUCUGAUUCAUGAAGACCCAAUGACACUGAGCUUCAGACCCCUCCCCCGCCCCCACACACAUGGCAUUGGUCCCUUCCCCUGCUCCCAGCAGCCACAGACUCAGAUAACUGAUUCUUUAAAUAGCAGUUUCUGCUAAACAGUUUUUAAAGGCUAGUAAGUUGCAUAGGGAAUUGUAUUAUAUACCCUAAAACCUCAUGAACAGGAAAUUACCUCCUAUUAUAAGCUAGAAAUAAUUGGAAGGUGGUGGCCCUUUAUUGAACUUGUGAUUGAAAAGGAUCCCCUGGUCUCAGAAAACUGGAGAUCACUGAGAUUAUGACCUAUUCUCAGAAACAUCCCUAAGAAUGAACGGAAUCCCCUUUGCAAAUCUAGUCUAGUGAUUCAGGUUUAGAUGAACCAGGAGGGACCAGAUAGACCUCCCUUUUCUACUCCUUGUUCUCCUUUAUUUCCUGACGAGGAAACAGGCUCUCAAAGGGAAAGCAAUGGCCCAAGGUCAAACCGUGAGCUGGUGGCAGAUUUGAGGCUAGGACUCAGGCCUGCAGGCUCCCAGUCAGUCCCUGCUGCUCUUUCAAGUUCUGGGUAUCACAUAUUGAGUGCCUGAUACUAAUUAAGCAUUUGCUACAUGCUAGGCUCUGUGUGAAGCCUUUGACAUAGGUUAUCUCAUUUGAUUUUCCUAAUAAUUCUAUGAGAUCAGUUCUAUUAUUUAUACCCAUUUUACAGAUGAAGAAACUGAAACUUAGCUUGUUCACAGAACUGGGAUGUAACAGAGCUUUUACAAGUCUAGUUUGUUCUAUAGGUUUGACACCAGAUCUGAAAAUGUACCAAGAGUCGAAAGACAUUGGCAAGAGGCUGAUGUGGUAGAAAGGACACUGGAAUCGAAUGGAGUCAAGGCCCUUGCAUUGACCAUAGGCACGUCACCGAUUAUUGUCUUCAAUAUUAAAACCUUAAUUGCAAAGUCCA
Odocoileus virginianus texanus is the source of this 4683-nucleotide long non-coding RNA. RefSeq lists it as uncharacterized. The record is from RefSeq and is a predicted model, not a curated record. NCBI's taxonomy places the organism in Eukaryota, Metazoa, Chordata, Mammalia, Artiodactyla, Cervidae.